GUGUCCAUAGUCUGAUGGAUAGGACAAAGGUAUUCUUAACCUUCGAUAUAGAUUCAAAUCCUAUUGUACGUA
This is a non-coding RNA of Picea glauca (white spruce), 72 nucleotides long. The record is from Rfam. NCBI's taxonomy places the organism in Eukaryota, Viridiplantae, Streptophyta, Pinopsida, Pinales, Pinaceae.